CCGAAWAAUGGCGACGCGAAAGAGAAAUCGAGUAGGGCCCUGGGGAGAGUACACGCGCAAGCGAGAAAUUUAAAGGAAAUUGACGGAAGAACACCACAAGGAGUGGAGUGUGCGGCUUAAUUUGACUCAACGCGGGACAACUUACCGGGCCCGACGACCGUAAGAGUGUGACACACGAUAGGUCGAAGAGUGGUGCAUGGCCGUUAACGACGAGUGGAGUGAUCUUUGGGUUAAGUCCGUAAAUUAGUGAGACCUCAGCCGUAAGGGACAGGUGCGCAAAGCACAGGAAGGAUGGGUCAAGGACAGGUCAGUGAUGCCCUUAGAUGGUCCGGGCUGCACGCGCACUACAGUGGUCGCCGAAAUUAGCUGAUAAUUUUAAAGGCGAUCGAGAGGGAAUGAGCUUUGUAAGAGGCUCAGGAACGAGGAAUUGCUAGUAAUCGCGGACUCAUUAAGACGCGAUGAAUACGUCCCUGUUCUUUGUACACACCGCCCGUCGUUAUCGAAGAUGAAGACAGGCGCGAACGAUCUACCAGAAAGUGAGCGCAGGUCUUUAGAUCUGAUACAAGUCGUAACAAGGUAGCUGUAGGUGAACCUGUNGCUGG
RNAcentral lists this ribosomal RNA (602 nucleotides) under Loma pacificodae. RNAcentral describes it as "SSU rRNA". It matches the Rfam family "Microsporidia small subunit ribosomal RNA", at positions 709 to 1305 of the family's 1311-position model. The record is from RNAcentral. Lineage: Eukaryota; Fungi; Microsporidia; Glugeidae.